Molecule: transfer RNA, 90 nt
Filed under: Ciona intestinalis (vase tunicate)
Lineage: Eukaryota; Metazoa; Chordata; Ascidiacea; Phlebobranchia; Cionidae
Rfam family: tRNA
About the family: Transfer RNA (tRNA) molecules are approximately 80 nucleotides in length.
Source: Rfam by way of RNAcentral
CCUUCGAUAGCUCAGUUGGUAGAGCGGUGGACUGUAGUUGUUUAAUCAUCAGAAAUCCAUAGGUCGCUGGUUCGAAUCCGGCUCGAAGGA